This 359-nucleotide unclassified non-coding RNA is filed under the name Hevea brasiliensis (rubber tree). The record is from RNAcentral. Lineage: Eukaryota; Viridiplantae; Streptophyta; Magnoliopsida; Malpighiales; Euphorbiaceae.
GGAGGUUAUUUUAGCACAAUUUGAUCUCUCUCGUCAGGCAGAAACGAAAAUACUUAGAGGGCCACAUGAGGAUUUGGAAAGUUAUCUCGGGGCUAUUGGUCAGUUAAGAAACAUUAUCAAAUUCUUUAGUAGCCAUAAAGGUUUUAAGAGUAGCGAGGUAGUGCUUAACCAGGCAAAUACGCUGCUUGCAAAAGCCAUCUCAAAGCUGGAAGAUGAGUUCAGACAGCUAUUAUCUUCCUACAGCAAACCUGUGGAGCCCGAGCGUCUUUUCGAUUGCCUGCCAAAAUCGUUGCAACCAUCUUCAGAAUCUCCUGGUCAUGAUUCAGGUGGAAAGAAUCACUCCUCAAAUCCACAUUCUG